This is a long non-coding RNA of Mauremys mutica (yellowpond turtle), 390 nucleotides long. RefSeq lists it as uncharacterized. The record is from RefSeq and is a predicted model, not a curated record. Lineage: Eukaryota; Metazoa; Chordata; Testudines; Geoemydidae. The transcript has 3 exons.
UUCUGUGGGACAGUCGGGGUCCAUCCCAUGGACAGUUGGGGUUCGUGCCUAGGACAAAGAGAGAGAUGGUAUUUUCCACUACUGCAGAUGAGACGCUUGAUUAGCUGAAACAGUGGUCUGAUCCCGUAUGACAUACACAUGUUCCUGUGAUGAAGACUCUACCAUACCUAUGUAUUUGCCAUACACAAUAUGUCUGCAGGUGUGCCUCUCUCUCAGCCAAUGUGAUUGAGGUGGAGAGGAGAAGGACCAGGAGGCAAAGGAGGAAGAGAAGAAAAGGGAAUGCAAUAUUCAGGUUCAUCUCCUCACAGAUGUUGGCAUGGUCACACACACAUUUGAGCAGCUCUGACAUUCCAUCUAGCAGAAGGCAGUCGUGUGGGAAGACGGACAGAG